AUUGAACGCUGGCGGCAGGCCUAAAACAUGCAAGUCGAGCGGAGCGGCUGACGGGUGGGUAAUGCCUAGGAAUCUGCCUGGUAGUGGGGGAUAACGUCAGGCAACGGGCGCUAAUACCGCAUACUUUCCGAUGGGCCUAGGUCGGAUUAGCUAGUUGGUGGGGUAAAGGCCUACCAAGGCGACGAUCCGUAACUGGUCUGAGAGGAUGAUCAGGCACACUGGAACUGAGACACGGUCCAGACUCCUACGGGAGGCAGCAGUGGGGAAUAUUGGACAAUGGGCGAAAGCCUGAUCCAGCCAUGCCGCGUGUGUGAAGAAGGUCUUCGGAUUGUAAAGCACUUUAAGUUGGGAGGCGUUACCAACAGAAUAAGCACCGGCUAACUUCGUGCCAGCAGCCGCGGUAAUUC
RNAcentral lists this ribosomal RNA (407 nucleotides) under uncultured bacterium. Its description in RNAcentral is "partial 16S ribosomal RNA". It matches the Rfam family "Bacterial small subunit ribosomal RNA", at positions 30 to 526 of the family's 1533-position model. The record is from RNAcentral.